CUGAGCAGUUAUCCACUGGACAAAAAGCCGAAAAGAUCAGAGGUGCUGUACUGUCUCCACUGAAGAUUACAUUUUAUCAGUGGAAAAGACUAACUUCAAAGGUAAAGAUUGCCAGAAGUAAACAGAAAAGUUGCAGCAUAAAGAGUAAGUGGAAAGAAGGUUUGUUAGAAGAAAGGAUCAGCGGAAAAAACAGGAUUGGUGGUUGGUUGGUGGAGGCAGCAGGGAUGUGCAGUGUGGGUGGUACACGUAGAGCUGAGCUGGACUGUAGCGUCCUGGAGGAGGACUGGCAGCGAGGACAGAGCUACACGGCUCACUGGCACAGCCUCACCCUCUACCCACAGCAUCACUGCAGGCCAACAGUGAUAGAGGCAGAGUGCUCAACAAGGUACUGGGAGGCCAGGAGGCUCCUCCAGCGGUUCCUCUCAGGAGUCAUCAGCAAGAAUUACCCAAAGCCCAAAACACACUUAACCAGACGACCCCAGCAGCCCAUCUCCGACCCCUUUGCCAAAGGGCCAAAAGUGCAACAAGGCCCAGUUCAUAUGCAGAAGGAAGUAUGCUGUGUGACCAUGAGACCGGAUAGCACUGUGGUGAAGAUAACAAAGUUGCCGAGGUUUCUGGGCUGAAACGUUUGUUGUCUCUUUAAACAUGCAAGCACCAUCUGUAUUUUUCUUUGCAGCUUAAUUAAUUGUGAUUGUUUGUGUUUGAAAUAAAACUAGAUUCUUGUUACAAUGUAA
This is a long non-coding RNA of Dicentrarchus labrax (European seabass), 734 nucleotides long. RefSeq lists it as uncharacterized. The record is from RefSeq and is a predicted model, not a curated record. The transcript is spliced from 3 exons. NCBI's taxonomy places the organism in Eukaryota, Metazoa, Chordata, Actinopteri, Moronidae.